AACGAACGCUGGCGGCAGGCUUAACACAUGCAAGUCGAACGGAUCCUUCGGGAUUAGUGGCAGACGGGUGAGUAACGCGUGGGAACGUACCCUUUGCUACGGAAUAACUCAGGGAAACUUGAGCUAAUACCGUAUGUGCCCUACGGGGGAAAGAUUUAUCGGCAAAGGAUCGGCCCGCAUUGGAUUAGCUAGUUGGUGGGGUAAUGGCCUACCAAGGCGACGAUCCAUAGCUGGUCUGAGAGGAUGAUCAGCCACACUGGGACUGAGACACGGCCCAGACUCCUACGGGAGGCAGCAGUGGGGAAUAUUGGACAAUGGGCGCAAGCCUGAUCCAGCCAUGCCGCGUGAGUGAUGAAGGUCUUAGGAUUGUAAAGCUCUUUCACCGGUGAAGAUAAUGACGGUAGCCGGAGAAGAAGCCCCGGCUAACUUCGUG
RNAcentral lists this ribosomal RNA (433 nucleotides) under uncultured bacterium. RNAcentral's name for it is "partial 16S ribosomal RNA". It matches the Rfam family "Bacterial small subunit ribosomal RNA", at positions 29 to 507 of the family's 1533-position model. The record is from RNAcentral.